This 253-nucleotide ribosomal RNA is filed under the name uncultured bacterium. RNAcentral describes it as "partial 16S ribosomal RNA". It matches the Rfam family "Bacterial small subunit ribosomal RNA", at positions 524 to 776 of the family's 1533-position model. The record is from RNAcentral.
UACGGAGGUGGCAAGCGUUGCUCGGAAUCACUGGGCGUAAAGGGCGCGUAGGCGGGGAGGUAAGUCGGGUGUGAAAUCCCUCGGCCCAACUGAGGAACUGCGCCCGAGACUGCUUCUCUUGGGUCCCGGAGAGGAAGGUGGAAUUCCCGGUGUAGCGGUGAAAUGUGUAGAGAUCGGGAGGAACACCGGUGGCGAAGGCGGCCUUCUGGACGGUGACUGACGCUGAGGCGCGAAAGCGUGGGGAGCAAACGGG